RNAcentral lists this ribosomal RNA (196 nucleotides) under uncultured bacterium. Its description in RNAcentral is "partial 16S ribosomal RNA". It matches the Rfam family "Bacterial small subunit ribosomal RNA", at positions 1306 to 1500 of the family's 1533-position model. The record is from RNAcentral.
UGCAACUCGACUGCAUGAAGCCGGAAUCGCUAGUAAUCGCGGAUCAGAAUGCCGCGGUGAAUACGUUCCCGGGUCUUGUACACACCGCCCGUCACACCAUGGGAGUCGGAAAUGCCCGAAGCCGGUGGCCUAACCGAUAAGGGAGGAGCCGUCGAAGGCAGGUCUGAUGACUGGGGUGAAGUCGUAACAAGGUAUC